This 74-nucleotide transfer RNA is filed under the name Cricetulus griseus (Chinese hamster). It matches the Rfam family "tRNA". Rfam says of the family: Transfer RNA (tRNA) molecules are approximately 80 nucleotides in length. Their secondary structure includes four short double-helical elements and three loops (D, anti-codon, and T loops). Further hydrogen bonds mediate the characteristic L-shaped molecular structure. tRNAs have two regions of fundamental functional importance: the anti-codon, which is responsible for specific mRNA codon recognition, and the 3' end, to which the tRNAs corresponding amino acid is attached (by aminoacyl-tRNA synthetases). tRNAs cope with the degeneracy of the genetic code in two manners: having more than one tRNA (with a specific anti-codon) for a particular amino acid; and 'wobble' base-pairing, i.e. permitting non-standard base-pairing at the 3rd anti-codon position. The record is from Rfam by way of RNAcentral. Lineage: Eukaryota; Metazoa; Chordata; Mammalia; Rodentia; Cricetidae.
GGAAGGAUGGCUCAGCUGUUAAGAGCACAACACUGAUCUUGCAGAGGAUCUGAGUUCGAAUCUCAGCACUACCA